CUCUGGCAGUCCCCAGAGCUCCUGACUGCAUUGGGUGGCAGGGGCACCCCAGCUGCUAUAGGCCAUGGGCUGCAGGGGAUGCUUGAGCUCCAGCACUCAACCUGCAGCUGCCCCAGUGGCAGGGCUCAGGUUUCUGGGACUUUUACUAAAAACACCUGUGACAAAGUCUUAGCCUUAAUUAUAAGGCUAGAAGGGAUCACUGAUCAUCUAGUCUGAACACCUCUCUUAGAUGACUUGUGUAACUUUAGCCUUUAAUUUUGAGUCCUGAAUAAACCAUUCCAUUACUUAACCAAUCCAUAGGUCCCGCAGUCAUCCCUUUUUCAAAUAUUUGAACUAUGCUGGCAGUACUCUAAGGCUUUAAAGUUUCUGUUUUUCACGACUAUUAAAAAUAAACAUCAGUGGUUCAGAGUGCUCCACAGCUAGUUCCUUUAAGACUGUUGGGUGCAAGUUAUCCAGGCCUGUUGACUUGAAAAUGCUUCAUUUUAGCAGAUUCUGCCUCACUUCCUCUUGCUACAGAUAAAACCUUCUAUUCCAUCCACCAUCAUACAAGAUUAAUACAGCAUUUUGCACAAUUUCUCCCUUUGAUUUCCAGGCAGGUGCAGUGCUCUCUCCUUUUACUCUGAGCUAUCCAUUGAGAUACAACGUUGUAUUUAAAAAAAAAAAAAUAGGAAGUUUGUUUUUUUAAUUAUGUCAAGUGGUAGUUAAGGUUGCAUGAGGACAUACCUCAACCAUCCAAAAACCUUAACUUACUUAAAUAAGUUAAGGGGAGAGACUUGUUCAUUAAUUUAUAUUGAAGCUGAAGUUUAAGUCCACAUUUCAUAAGUUAUCCUUAUUUUAAUGUAUAUUCACUCAACUAGCAAAACUGGGUCUCAGUCUUAGCAUACUGUCAGUACAGGUAUUUAUGUUCUCUGCUCACAGUAAUGAGUUGAUUAAAAAAGGAAAAGUGUUUUUUAUAAGUUCAAUAAAAAAGUAUAUCCAAGACUUUUUUGUGAAAGUGAUUUAUUGCCAUCUAAACACUUUACUACAGUAGAUCUGAGUUAUUAGAAUAUAAAGUAAAACACUUGGUUAAAGUACACUUGACAUCAGACUUACACAUGCCUUACAGGUUUUCUAUGUAGUCUUCACUAAUGUGCACCAACUUCAUGUUUUACAAUCACUCCAGAUCGUGAGUUCUUCCUCCAUCAUAACAAAAUUUCCAAAACUUUUAGAACCAGGCAUUUGUGUUAAACUGUAAAUAACAUGUCUAUAAAAAGAACAGUUGAGAAAUACAAAAUGCGAGAGAGGACUAGCAGACAAUUCUUUUUGGAGGCAGAGUACAUCUCACAUUUGAUUUACUUUUCUGUGUACAGGAAGUCACAUACAAGAAGCAUGGUAAUCAUCUCAAUUAUUUGGAACUGCCAACUAGUUCUAAAAGUUUGUAAAAACUGGUCCAAUUACAACAAACUUAGGGAUUUGCAUAAUUAACUGAGUUUAUCAUUAAAGAAAUGCAUUGUUACAAACACAGAGCUGAUAUGUACUAGCACAAACUAUUUGUUCAGGUUGUCAGAUGUACGCCCUGCUGAGGCUUCACCUUCUAAUUAAAAGAUAUUUAGUACCAUACAAUAUCUCUU
Non-coding RNA from Chelonoidis abingdonii (Abingdon island giant tortoise), 1610 nucleotides. Lineage: Eukaryota; Metazoa; Chordata; Testudines; Testudinidae. The record is from RefSeq and is a predicted model, not a curated record.